RNAcentral lists this non-coding RNA (29 nucleotides) under Rattus norvegicus (Norway rat). Lineage: Eukaryota; Metazoa; Chordata; Mammalia; Rodentia; Muridae. The record is from RNAcentral.
UAUUAGUAAAUAUGGCUGAAGAAAUGGGC